UCACAUCAGAGAGCUCUGCUUUAAGGCUUUAUUUUGGAACAUUAGACCUUGCUUUCAAUAGACUUUCAGAGAUCUUAUUUCUAAAGGUUAUGAGUGGAGUCCUUUACAUUCUCAAGCACAAAAAUCUGAAAUAUAUAAUUGGGAAGGCUGACAUGUAAGAGCUACUGACUUGACGAGAGAAUGAGGCUAGCAGAUUCCCCAGUUGCAUGACUCAACACAACUUUAGUUUCUCCUCGAGAGAUGAUAAGACUACUUGUUUCUUCUGGGUGGGCAGGAAGCACAGCUGUUCAACUGAAGCAGUGACAGAAGUUUUCCAGAUGGCUGUGUUGGAUCCUGCCAACCACACCAGAUGGGAAGGGUUCCCUUACCUGAACUGAAUGUGCACAUCCCUCCAGAAGUUCUCUGUCAAGCUGGGCUCCUGAGCGAGAUACAUAGGAAGUGGUUGUGUUAAAUGAACAUCCUUUAUUCUUGGUUAUGACUUAAUCCUUGUCUGAAGCCUAAGCCAGAAACUGGUGUAAGAAGCCAGCCUAUCGGUUUGCUUUCCUACAGCUGCGACUUGGUCCUGCGUAUUCCUCUGGAUUAAAAACAGCUCCUAAAACAAAGACUCAGCCAACCCCAUUUUGCCAUUCUGGAGGCAGAAAUAGAAAGAGAGGGAGUUUCCUGGAAUUACUUUUCAUUCAUUCACCCUUUCCAGCACCAUCUCCAUUGCCAAGUCCUGACGGGUAUGUAGACCCUCAGCUAAACCCAUGGGAAACUCCUCCCUGGGUUAGGUUCAGGGAAGAGUGUUUGCAAAUGCUUCCUGACUCAGGGCCCGCUGGGACAGUUCCUAUAAAGGCUUUGUCUUUUCCUCCAUAAAGAAUUGAUGUGGAUUUCCUCUCCUUAUUUCCUCUUCUCUUAAGCAUGGUUCUGAACUUCCUCUUGGAAUCUGAAUCUCAAUAGGAUUUUAUUUUAUGUCAAUGGGAAAGCUUAUGUAUAAUUCAACUUCAUUUCGAUUGAAGAAGGGGCAAGGAGUUCCCUCUGUGUGCCUGGAGUUGAGUGAUCUUGGGACUGAAGGACUGUGCCUCACCACAUUUCAUCUACCAAGCGGCUUGCUGACAGCCCUUGCAAAAUAAAAGUUAAUCAGUCAUUCAAGUGUAA
This is a non-coding RNA of Marmota flaviventris (yellow-bellied marmot), 1137 nucleotides long. Lineage: Eukaryota; Metazoa; Chordata; Mammalia; Rodentia; Sciuridae. The record is from RefSeq and is a predicted model, not a curated record.